CCUGUCUCGUAUUGGCCUUUUUAGCCACCAGCGUGCUUGUAACAAUUGUGGGUAAAGCCCUUCCCAAAUCUUCAUUCACGAAGCCCAGCCAUGAUGAUGAUGUAAUGAGAGAAUACAAAAGGCGCGAUUUUCAAAUGGUUGGUGUGCCUUUAGGUCCAUGUGACCUGAAGUGCACCCAGCACGCUGCAGUAAAGAACUUCUCGCCACACUUUCUUUGUCCUACAGGUAUAUUUUUUCUGUUUUUAAAUUUAAAGAAAGGAUUUUUCCUACAAAGUCAAGUAAUGCCUCUUUACAAAUAAGCAGAAAGCCUGUAGUCUGGUAACAGGGACCUCAUCUGAGAGAUAAGAAAACAGCGUGAUUUAGAGAAGGGACAAGUUGUGUCUUCUACCUUUUAGGUGAGUGUCCUAAUCCAUAGGCAAUAGGUGAUUCUAGGAUGGGAGCUUCUCCUUCUGGGGCAACUUCUGUUGUGAAACAAAAAGAAAAUAAGGCAUUGAAAAAGGCAGUAAGAGUCUGGCCUUAAAGCUAGUCGACAAGAGCGGCCUUCUAGGAUAUCUGAGACUCAUGAGACUCUGGCCUUCUGGACUCAGGAUGUAAUCUUGAACAAAGCUCUCUUGUAAGCCAGAGAAUUUCUCAUCCAUCCUGAAAGGAGAGUUUUCAGGUUAUGGAAAUGGAAGGUCAAGAAGUUGCAGUCACCUUUAAGAGACAACUGUAGUCUGUUUUUUGAAUCUCCUCCAGCAUUCUCCACCUGCCAGAUGACAUGACAAGUUGCUGAAAAAAACAACCAAAGAAGGACCUAUCCUUUCCAUCUCAAUGCAAGGAAUUCAAUCUGGAAAAUCUUGAAACACUUGAAAAUUCCUUAAAAAUCCCCCAAACUUCUGGAAGAAAAAUUAAGCUGAUUGAAAUGUUUAAUGAUGGCACCUUUUCAUUUAUGAUACACUGUAUUCUAAUGCUAUGCUAGUUUAAAUUGAAACCAUAGUGAUUUAGAAAUUAAAAUGUUUUGCUCUGAAAAAAAUAAAAAUUGUAUACUUUGAAGCUGCCAGAACAUUUUUAUGCCAUUCUUAAAACACUUUCACAGAAUUGACAUGAUUUCAAAAGGUAUUCUUCUUGAAGGAGCUGCCUUUUCAAAGAAAAGGUUUCCACUGAUGUAUUUUCUUUGACCAUUUUAAAGCUCCUGCACUACACUUAUUUAGAAAAAGCACAUGGAGUAGUGAUUGUGACACUUUCCAGUGGUUAGUGCAAAUUUAUUUUUAAAACAUUGUAUCUUAUUCUCAGCAAUGAGCUCUUGUUUUGGUCCUGAUGCCACUAUUUUGCUUUGGUCAACUGAAAACUCCCAUCUCAGUUACAUCCACGCAAAAAGGAAGGAAAUGUUAAUAAAGGAUCACAAGCUGCAUAACAGAACGAGACAGUUCAAGAGGCUUGUGCAGGAGCUUUCCACGUAGUGGACUCUUCAGGUUGGUCCCUAAAGAGAACAAGUGAUAUUUCCCCUGUUUGCAAUAUUCAUCCCCAUUCUGAGAAGAGAACUGCCACAGGGAUAGUAAAGAGACAGUGUGCUCUAACAUUCAAAUGACUGCAGUAGAUGACCUAAAAUGUGUCAUCCUGUGUUAUUCUGAUGUCAUAUAUUGCAUGCCUUUGCUCGGAAGUAUCACUAUGUUCUUGAAACACGUGAGGUAAGCAAGCACACAGCCGUGACCCUUUAACUUGAGAGGAAAUUAGUACCAGUGCUCUUGUAAAUGAUUACAAAAUUUUGGGGGAUAGAGUAGAAACUGACAUUCAGAAGGAAUUGGAUCUACAGCUAUCAAAUGGCCUAUCCAUUUCUGGCACAUUAGAAAUAUGUGGUUUGUUUCCUCUGUAUUAGCUGGGAUAGAGACACAUUCUCUGUGUUACCCAUAAUCUUGGGUAGAGAAGCAAAACUGUAAUGAUUGGAUUCAUAAGCUGUAAAAAUGGUUUUCUCAUCAUUUAUGACAACAGUAAAUCAUUCAGACUAAAAACCAGACUUGUGCUAUGUCCACUCGGGUGUAACCUUCUACUGCUUAGGGACAGCUCUGCUCGAGGAUGAGAGAUUGAUUGGUCUGAAAGACGAUAUGAUGCAAACAGGGCAUUCAGAUGACAUCGCCCUUUUCAUUGACUUUCCUAAAGACUUAACAUUCCUUGUAAGUCUAAAAGUUCUUUUAGAGAACCAUAAACCAUGGCUCCAGUCUUUCACAGAGAGGGAUGCCUAAAAAAUUAAUCCUCUGAUGGAGUUUGUGGGGCUAAUUUGAGUGUUUUUCAUACAUCACUUUCAGCUUUGACUGUGACUUGGCAUUUUUAAGGGUGUUUCCUCAAUAUUGGCUACUUCCAUGAAGUCAUUUCACCCAACAUGGGAAGAUGUCCACUUUUGUAGUGAGAUGCAUGACCACCCUCUAGUGAUGCACAGCAACCCAGUGACAAAGUGAGGCACCAUGGCUUAUCUGACAGGGUGAACAGGAGGAUGUGGACGGAGAACUGCUGGAGUGUACUCACAACACAGAGUGGCAGCAAGUUGAUGAAAAUAACUA
Long non-coding RNA from Chiroxiphia lanceolata (lance-tailed manakin), 2534 nucleotides. RefSeq lists it as uncharacterized. The record is from RefSeq and is a predicted model, not a curated record. NCBI's taxonomy places the organism in Eukaryota, Metazoa, Chordata, Aves, Passeriformes, Pipridae. The transcript has 4 exons.